Long non-coding RNA from Lagenorhynchus albirostris (white-beaked dolphin), 288 nucleotides. RefSeq lists it as uncharacterized. The record is from RefSeq and is a predicted model, not a curated record. The transcript is spliced from 3 exons. NCBI's taxonomy places the organism in Eukaryota, Metazoa, Chordata, Mammalia, Artiodactyla, Delphinidae.
AGUUUCUUCACCCUUUGAGAAAAAUUGUAGAUUCAGCUUGUCAACUUCUGCCAGGUUUUGGUGAUUAUCAAUAAAACUGCUAUCGGCAUUCACGUCAAAGCUUUUGUGUGAACAUAAAUUAACACAGCACUGAGAAUGGGAUUGCUGAGCCAUAUGCUAAGAAAAGACUGUUUGUAACCUAGGAACUGCCCGUAACUUUCACAACUGAUACUGAGUGUGUGCUGCUUCAUCAUUUUUGGCAAGGAUUGGUGUUUCAUCAUUUAGACACAUCAGGUACUUAGAUUGCCA